AGUUUGACAUCCGAGACCUUCCGAAAGAAGGGUGCCUUCGGGGAAUUCCGAGACAGGUGCUGCAUGGCUGUCGUCAGCUCGUGCCGUGAGGUGUUGGGUUAAGUCCCGCAACGAGCGCAACCCUAUUGCCAGUUGCUACCAGGUAAUGCUGGGCACUCUGGUGAGACUGCCCCGGUUAACGGGGAGGAAGGUGGGGACGACGUCAAGUCAUCAUGGCCCUUACGCCUAGGGCUACACACGUACUACAAUGGCGCAUACAAAGGGCAGCGAUACCGCGAGGUGGAGCCAAUCCCAAAAAGUGCGUCCCAGUCCGGAUUGCAGUCUGCAACUCGACUGCAUGAAGUUGGAAUCGCUAGUAAUUCGAGAUCAGCAUGCUCGGGUGAAUGCGUUCCCGGGCCUU
This 400-nucleotide ribosomal RNA is filed under the name uncultured Desulfovibrio sp. Its description in RNAcentral is "bacterial SSU rRNA". It matches the Rfam family "Bacterial small subunit ribosomal RNA", at positions 978 to 1382 of the family's 1533-position model. Lineage: Bacteria; Pseudomonadati; Thermodesulfobacteriota; Desulfovibrionia; Desulfovibrionales; Desulfovibrionaceae. The record is from RNAcentral.